This 492-nucleotide ribosomal RNA is filed under the name uncultured bacterium. RNAcentral's name for it is "partial 16S ribosomal RNA". It matches the Rfam family "Bacterial small subunit ribosomal RNA", at positions 29 to 507 of the family's 1533-position model. The record is from RNAcentral.
AGUGAACGCUGGCGGUAGGCCUAACACAUGCAAGUCGAACGGCAGCACAGUAAGAGCUUGCUCUUACGGGUGGCGAGUGGCGGACGGGUGAGGAAUACAUCGGAAUCUACUUUUUCGUGGGGGAUAACGUAGGGAAACUUACGCUAAUACCGCAUACGACCUACGGGUGAAAGCAGGGGAUCUUCGGACCUUGCGCGAUUGAAUGAGCCGAGGUCGGAUUAGCUAGUUGGCGGGGUAAAGGCCCACCAAGGCGACGACCCGUAGCUGGUCUGAGAGGAUGAUCAGCCACACUGGGACUGGGACACGGUCCAGACUCCUACGGGAGGCAGCAGUGGGGAAUAUUGGACGAUGGGCGCAAGCCUGAUCCAGCCAUACCGCGUGGGUGAAGAAGGCCUUCGGGUUGUAAAGCCCUUUUGUUGGGAAAGAAAAGCAGCAGGUUAAUACCCCGCUGUUCUGACGGUACCCAAAGAAUAAGCACCGGCUAACUUCGUG